GGGCGAGAGACGAGCGGGAAACCUAUCAAUCGAAACUUUUGAACUUCUUCAGCACCUGCAAGAGCAAAAGGACUAAUGGCGAAAUCCCACUUCCAUUAGCACGAAUCUAAACUCUCUCUUCAAUUUUCCAGGUAACCAAUCACACCACAAGCCCCACCAGUCUACUCCCUUCUUCCGCCGUUUCUUUUCUACCCUUUUUAAUCAACUCCCAAACCCUAGGGUUACAAACUUCCAAUUGAAACCCUUGCACCAUGCCAAAACCAAAUUGAAAUGACUAAUAACAGAGAACCGCCUCCAAACAAGAUCCACACCGUCCAGGCAGAGCGAAACCUAGGAGCCAACUGGGAGGUAGAUCUCGCUACGAAGCUCGAAGACUACCUGUUGAAGAUUUGCUCCGGUGAAAUUACCGGCGCCGAAGACUAUAAUACUAACGCCUCUGUCAAUUUCGCCGAAGCUGCUUUGCUGCUUCAAGGUUCGGUUCAGGUGUAUAGCAGGAAGGUCGAGUAUUUAUAUAACUUGGUUUUGCAUGCUUUGGAGUUUCUUUCUGAAAAGAGGCAGCAGGAGCAAUCAGAGGGCACAUCAGUCCAGCCUGAGCAAAGUGGUUCCCAUGCAGUUUCUGAUGAAGAAAAUGAUCAAUUUUGGUGCGUGGAUGUCCCUGUGGAAGCAAGGAAUUCCUUAGAUGCUUCAACCAGUAAAGAUGCUUCUUUCUAUCACUUUGUGAAACCACCAGCAAAUCUUAUUGUCCUUGAAGGUGAUUGCUUAGAUACCAGUGGUGAUGGUGGAGAAUUAGAAUCAUACCUGUUAGCCACCAAUGAUCUUUACAGGGAUUUUAUUCUUUUAGACCCUUGUGAUGCUGUAGCAGUGAAUGAUUUUUUGAAGGGAGAUGAAACUGGAAAAUUACCAAAUAGUACUUAUAGGGGAAGCUCAACUCAUAAGAACUUUCAAUCCCCCACAAGACGUUCCGGGGGGACUGCACGCAAGUCAUCUCUCGGAAAGAACCUGGAUGCAAAUCUCAACCAACCUUCCAUGGCUGAUUGCAGUUUUGGAGUUAAUAACAGUACCGUGGGGCCAGAUCUUCCUGCUUAUGAUAAUUAUGAAGACGGGAACCAUGACUUUGAUAUGGAUGAUGGAUAUUCAGAACCUCGGAACUUGGAGGAUUCAGAAGAUGAUGACAGCAACGAUGAUCCGUGGAAACCCUUAAAUCCCCAUGAACCUGGGAACUUAAAAAUGAAGCCUUUCGGAAAAGGUUGUUAAAGAACUUAUUUCUCUUGUUUGUUUUCUUUCUCCUUAUGAUUUCUUUGUGCAUCUAAUUAUCACUCGUCUUGGAUUUGUCUCAACAAGCAGUAAAACCCUACAGAAGGAAUGGUAUAAAUUCUGCCAAGCAGACCUCUAUAACUACUCUGUUUCCACUUGCUAAGAUGGAUGGUACUAUCAGUCCUGAGCUCAUAGAAAUGUGGAAAGCACGUCACAAAAGAUCUGAAACAAACUCCCAGUCUCCUCCUUUAUAUGAAAAGCUAAGGCAAUCCCUUAGUGAUGGAGGUAACAGCGCUAAUGAAACUUUUGGUAAUGCUGAGAAUGAUAAUGAAGCUAAUGGAUAUGAUGGUGGAAUUCCUGAUUUUGAACAGUCUGAUGAUGAGAUGCCAGAAAGUAUGUAUAUGGAUGAAGAUUUACCUCAACAUGAAAAGUAUGAUGAUAGCUCUACUCAUUUUGACACCAAUGAAGCUUUUAAACAUGAAGAGCCGAGUUCCCAAGCAAGCCUAGAAGAUCUAUGUCUCUCUCACCUAGUAAGCAUAAAUUUUUUUGGCAUUUAGCUAGGGUCAUAAACCAAGUGCAUUUGCAUUGGAUUCAGAUAUACUCUAAUACUGGCAAUCAAUCUAAUCUAUUACUUUAAUUACCUU
This 1898-nucleotide unclassified non-coding RNA is filed under the name Hevea brasiliensis (rubber tree). Lineage: Eukaryota; Viridiplantae; Streptophyta; Magnoliopsida; Malpighiales; Euphorbiaceae. The record is from RNAcentral.